RNAcentral lists this ribosomal RNA (445 nucleotides) under uncultured bacterium. RNAcentral's name for it is "partial 16S ribosomal RNA". It matches the Rfam family "Bacterial small subunit ribosomal RNA", at positions 354 to 796 of the family's 1533-position model. The record is from RNAcentral.
GUGAGGAAUAUUGCGCAAUGGAGGCAACUCUGACGCAGCCAUGCCGCGUGCAGGAAGAAGGCGCUACGCGUUGUAAACUGCUUUUAACCGGGAAGAAACCCCAGGACGUGUCCUGGGUUGACGGUACCGGAGGAAUAAGCACCGGCUAACUUCGUGCCAGCAGCCGCGGUAAUACGAAGGGUGCAAGCGUUAUCCGGAUUCAUUGGGUUUAGAGGGUGCGUAGGCGGAGCGUUAAGUCAGUGGUGAAAUCCUGCAGCUUAACUGUAGACUUGCCAUUGAUACUGGCGCUCUUGAGUGCGCUUGAAGUGGGCGGAAUGUGCCGUGUAGCGGUGAAAUGCUUAGAUAUGGCACAGAACACCAAUUGCGAAGGCAGCUCACUAAGGCGAUACUGACGCUGAGGCACGAAAGCGUGGGGAUCGAACAGGAUUAGAUACCCUUGUAGUCC